This 1289-nucleotide ribosomal RNA is filed under the name uncultured Sebacina. Its description in RNAcentral is "eukaryotic LSU rRNA". The stretch from base 613 to 1289 matches the Rfam family "Eukaryotic large subunit ribosomal RNA", at positions 1 to 656 of the family's 3401-position model. The record is from RNAcentral. Lineage: Eukaryota; Fungi; Basidiomycota; Agaricomycetes; Sebacinales; Sebacinaceae.
UUGGUCAUUUAGAGGAAGUAAAAGUCGUAACAAGGUUUCCGUAGGUGAACCUGCGGAAGGAUCAUUAAUGAAACUUCAAAGUCGGCCAAAGGUUGUUGCUGGUGAUUAUUCACAUGUGCACGCCUUUGGUCGCAAAUCCACACACACCUGUGCAUCUAUGACUCGAGGUUGUAAUGACUGAGAGUAACUUUUAUACACUCUUGUAUGUAAUGGAAUGUCUUUUUGUGCUAUAAUGUACAAUAUAAACAACUUUCAACAACGGAUCUCUUGGCUCUCGCAUCGAUGAAGAACGCAGCGAAAUGCGAUAAGUAAUGUGAAUUGCAGAAUUCAGUGAAUCAUCGAAUCUUUGAACGCACCUUGCACCCUUUGGUAUUCCGAAGGGUACGCCCGUUUGAGUGUCAUUGUAAUCUCACUUCUACAACUUUAUUGUUGUUUGAAUGUGGACUUGGAUGUUGCCGUUUUAUCACRGCUCGUCUUAAAUGCCUGAGUGUACCCUGUUUUGCAGCGUAUCCAGUGUAAUAAACAUUUCACUAGAGUUGGUCGAAAGACCGCGUUGACUAUAUGGGCUCUAUGCUUCAAACCGUCUGCCAUGUGGACAAUUUCUUGACAAUUUGACCUCAAAUCGGGUGGGACUACCCGCUGAACUUAAGCAUAUCAAUAAGCGGAGGAAAAGAAACUAACAAGGAUUCCCCUAGUAACGGCGAGUGAAGAGGGAAAAGCUCAAAUUUUAAAUCUGGUGUCUUUGACUCCCGAGUUGUAAUCUAGAGAAGUGUUUUCCGUGUCGGACCGUGUACAAGUUCCCUGGAACGGGGCGUCAUAGAGGGUGAGAAUCCCGUAUAUGCCAYGGACUACCGAUGCUCUGUGAUACACUCUCAACGAGUCGAGUUGUUUGGGAAUGCAGCUCAAAAUGGGUGGUAAAUUCCAUCUAAAGCUAAAUAUUGGCGAGAGACCGAUAGCGAACAAGUACCGUGAGGGAAAGAUGAAAAGCACUUUGGAAAGAGAGUGAAACAGUACGUGAAAUUGUUGAAAGGGAAGCGUUUGAAGUCAGUCGCAUCUGUUGGGGUUCAGCCUGGCUUUUGCCUGGUGUAUUUCCUUUCYGAUGGGUCAGCAUCAGUUUYGACCGAGGGAAAAAGACAUUUGGAAUGUGGCUGUCUUCGGGCAGUGUUAUAGCCUUGUGUUGUAUGUCUCGGUUGGGACUGAGGAUUGCAGCGCGCCAUAAAUGGCCGGGGGUCGCUCCUCUCGACACGCGCUUAGGAUGCUGGCAUAAUGGCUUUAAGCGACCCGUCUUG